Molecule: long non-coding RNA, 591 nt
Filed under: Homo sapiens (human)
Lineage: Eukaryota; Metazoa; Chordata; Mammalia; Primates; Hominidae
Description: HSALNT0392762
Source: RNAcentral
CCGGAUACAGUGGCUUGCACCUGUGGUCUCAGCGACUUGGGCGACUGAAGCAAGAAGAUCACUUGAGCCUAGGAGUUCGAGGCUACAGCAAGCUAUGACCGUGCCACUGCACUCCAGCCUGGGCGUGACAGACCAGCUCUUCUUCUGAAGGAUGACCACCUGGAAUAAGAGCAGCCCUAGGCCCCCCACCUCACUCCAGGUGGCAGAUCCACAGAGAUGGUAGCGAUACAGAAGCACAGCUUCCGAUGGCUUCCCCGUGUCUUCAGUUUGCAGCCUUAUUUCGGUGCUUGGACGUGCUUAACUUCUCAGGAUUAUAUUCUGCUUUGGAGUGCAAGGAGAAAGUCACAGUCUAGUUUUAUGAAGACCAAACUAGAGAAAAUCGAGUUAUCUUAAAGUGUAUGACAUCUCCACAAAUGAAUGUUUAUGGCUUUACACUUGGAGUGUUCUUGGAACACUCUUCAUAGCAAAUCCUCCCUCAGAAGACCCCCACCUGGCAUCAGAACAAACGUCUACCUAAUCUUCCAAACUCUGUGUAAAUCCUGGAUCCACCAUUUACCAGCUGUGUAACCCUGGACAACAAUUCCAUCUUUC